This 766-nucleotide ribosomal RNA is filed under the name uncultured Russula. RNAcentral describes it as "partial 28S ribosomal RNA". It matches the Rfam family "Eukaryotic large subunit ribosomal RNA", at positions 216 to 962 of the family's 3401-position model. Lineage: Eukaryota; Fungi; Basidiomycota; Agaricomycetes; Russulales; Russulaceae. The record is from RNAcentral.
GAAUCCCGUCUUUGGCAUGGAUGACCGGGGCUUUUGUGAUGCGCUCUCGAAGAGUCGGGUUGUUUGGGAAUGCAGCUCAAAAUGGGUGGUGAACUCCAUCUAAAGCUAAAUAUUGGCGAGAGACCGAUAGCGAACAAGUACCGUGAGGGAAAGAUGAAAAGCACUUUGGAAAGAGAGUGAAACAGUACGUGAAAUUGUUGAAAGGGAAACGCUUGAAGUCAGUCGCGUCGGCCGAGACUCAGCCUUGCCUCGGCUUGGUGUACUUCUUGACCGACGGGUCAGCAUCAAUUUUGCCCCUUGGAUAAUGGCGAGGGAAAUGUGACACCUUUAUAGGUGUGUUAUAGUCUCUCGUCGCAUGCAAGGGUCGGGAUUGAGGAACUCAGCACGCGCCUUCGGGCGUCGGGGCCUUGCCCACGAUACGUGCUUAGGAUGUUGGCGUAAUGGCUUUAAACGACCCGUCUUGAAACACGGACCAAGGAGUCUAACAUGCCCGCGAGUGUUCGGGUGGAAAACCCGUGCGCGCAAUGAAAGUGAAAGUUGGGACCUCUGUCGCGGAGGGCACCGACGCCCGGACCAGAGCUUCUGCGACGGAUCUGCGGUGGAGCGUGUAUGUUAGGACCCGAAAGAUGGUGAACUAUGCCUGAAUAGGGUGAAGCCAGAGGAAACUCUGGUGGAGGCUCGUAGCGAUUCUGACGUGCAAAUCGAUCGUCAAAUUUGGGUAUAGGGGCGAAAGACUAAUCGAACCAUCUAGUAGCUGGUUCCUGCC